This 56-nucleotide ribosomal RNA is filed under the name Amphritea pacifica. The record is from RNAcentral. Lineage: Bacteria; Pseudomonadati; Pseudomonadota; Gammaproteobacteria; Oceanospirillales; Oceanospirillaceae.
CUUGGCGACAAUAGCGAGAUGGAACCACCCGAUCCCUUCCCGAACUCGGAAGUGAA